CCUACGGGGGACAGCAGUGAGGAAUAUUGGUCAAUGGACGCAAGUCUGAACCAGCCAUGCCGCGUGCAGGAAGACGGCUCUAUGAGUUGUAAACUGCUUUUGUACGAGGGUAAACGCAGAUACGCGUAUCUGUCUGAAAGUAUCGUACGAAUAAGGAUCGGCUAACUCCGUGCCAGCAGCCGCGGUAAUACGGAGGAUUCAAGCGUUAUCCGGAUUUAUUGGGUUUAAAGGGUGCGUAGGCGGUCGGAUAAGUUAGAGGUGAAAUCCCGAGGCUCAACUUCGGAAUUGCCUCUGAUACUGUUCGUCUAGAGAGUAGUUGCGGUAGGCGGAAUGUAUGGUGUAGCGGUGAAAUGCUUAGAGAUCAUACAGAACACCGAUUGCGAAGGCAGCUUACCAAGCUACUUCUGACGUUGAGGCACGAAAGCGUGGGGAGCAAACAGGAUUAGAUACCCUUGUAGUC
This 460-nucleotide ribosomal RNA is filed under the name uncultured bacterium. RNAcentral describes it as "partial 16S ribosomal RNA". It matches the Rfam family "Bacterial small subunit ribosomal RNA", at positions 338 to 795 of the family's 1533-position model. The record is from RNAcentral.